CUGCAUGAGGAUUGUGUUCAACACGACGUCGAUGGGGAACUUCCUGCUGAACUACAGGAAGGAGGGUCACCAUCAGGAUGUGGGUCACAUGAAAGCAGAUCACGAUACUCACAGGAAAAUGGCCGAGUGUUUGGGAUUCGAACACGACCAGCCGUACAUCUACGAUGGAGUCGCAGAUUUCUGUCAAUCAUCUCUAGAAUCUGCGAUCUGAUGUCGAAAGAAGAUCGAACCAUCCGAGUGUCAACAAACAUGUUUUGUUCAUGCAAACAAUAAAAGCAAAUACUGAAACCCCCA
Long non-coding RNA from Gymnodraco acuticeps, 294 nucleotides. RefSeq lists it as uncharacterized. The transcript has 3 exons. Lineage: Eukaryota; Metazoa; Chordata; Actinopteri; Perciformes; Bathydraconidae. The record is from RefSeq and is a predicted model, not a curated record.